UACGGAGGGGGCUAGCGUUGUUCGGAAUUACUGGGCGUAAAGCGCGCGUAGGCGGCUUUGUAAGUUAGAGGUGAAAGCCCGGAGCUCAACUCCGGAAUUGCCUUUAAGACUGCAUCGCUAGAAUCAUGGAGAGGUGAGUGGAAUUCCGAGUGUAGAGGUGAAAUUCGUAGAUAUUCGGAAGAACACCAGUGGCGAAGGCGACUCACUGGACAUGUAUUGACGCUGAGGUGCAAAAGCGUGGGGAGCAAACAGG
This 253-nucleotide ribosomal RNA is filed under the name uncultured bacterium. RNAcentral describes it as "partial 16S ribosomal RNA". It matches the Rfam family "Bacterial small subunit ribosomal RNA", at positions 524 to 776 of the family's 1533-position model. The record is from RNAcentral.